AUGCCAGACCCGCUGCCGCACGCACCCGCCGCGGGCAUGGUCGACGCCGUGCACGACGACACCAAGCUGCAGCGCGCCCUGGUCGGCGGCGGCAUCGCCAAGUCCUCGGUGGCUCUGUUCCUCGCAUUCUUCAGGGCCCCGGCCGGCGUGUUCCUCCUCGACAGCCUGCUCGUCGCCGCCUACUACGGCGUCCUCGUCGCCAUCAUCCUCUUCGGCUUGGCGGGGGCGUGGACGGGGCUCUGGGUCUCGCACGACCCGCUACGCCGGCGUGCCGUCGGGAUGACAGUGCUCUGGGCGUCGGUUCUUUCGCUGCUCCUCUUGGCGGGUGUUGGAGGCCAUGCGAUCCUCAAGUGA
RNAcentral lists this ribosomal RNA (354 nucleotides) under Triticum aestivum (bread wheat). Its description in RNAcentral is "partial small subunit ribosomal RNA". Lineage: Eukaryota; Viridiplantae; Streptophyta; Magnoliopsida; Poales; Poaceae. The record is from RNAcentral.